Long non-coding RNA from Sparus aurata (gilthead seabream), 3485 nucleotides. NCBI's taxonomy places the organism in Eukaryota, Metazoa, Chordata, Actinopteri, Spariformes, Sparidae. The record is from Ensembl.
UAUAUACAUGGUGUGAAGCAGUGUGAAACGGUAAUAUUUUUGUUUAUUCAAAGGUAAUUUCAUGCUUACCACAUAACAGGAGAUGUCUUCAUCAUCUUGCACCGACUCUGAAUCGCUGGAGUCCAGGAAAAGAUGAAUGCUUUGGUCAUCUGCUGUUUCGUCUGGAAAACAACCCGUGCAGAAGAUACAGUUAUGCAUUAUAAAGCAAUAUUCAUAUUUAAUGAUUAAUUAUUAUUACAAUAAACACAACAGUGAAAAACAAACAUAUUUUAACGAGACAAUUUAAAAAGGAGACCGGUUACCGUUACAAUAUCUGUAGCCCACAGCUGUACAGGUCUAACAGUUAAAUUGUGGCGCUCACUGUUGUCUGAACUGAUUGGACGAGGGCUAGAAGACUCGUCGGGCUCCUCCAAUCACAUGCGAGGUCAUUGUUAUACGGAAGAAGUCGCGAGACGAGCUCGCCGAUAUAAACAAGCACGAUGUGCCUAUGAAGCUCUGUGAUAUAAACACGGUGUGCCUUCAGUUUAAAGAUGGAAGUCCCAAGACUGAAGAAACGACCUCGGCGCCUCUGUGAACAGUGCAACACUCUGUCAUACACAGUAUUUUGACCACAGAAAGCGCUAUUUCAAACAUGGAGUUUGGGAGAAAAAAAUCACAAUCUACAAUGGCUGGAUGGCUCAGCUCCCCUUCAACUCCUCUGUAUGGAUGCGAUCAACCCCUUUCAGCCAGUCCGCAGACCGGCGAGAACAAACUGCUAGAUGCUAUCAGUGGGCUGUCUCGUCAACUUACUCUGCUUGCUGCCGAUGUGAAUGAGCAGUUCACCGUAGUAAAGUCCAGGCUGCUGUCCAUAGAGGAGAGGUUGGCUGCUUUUGAGUCGAAAAAGAAACAGUACGCCGUCUUCACAACUCGGAGACAAAUUGUAGGCGCCAAGAACCGGAGCAAGGACUUGCCUCGCCUCAUAACGAGGCCUGACCUCCUAUUUGCUCGGAGCUAUGUCAGACUGCGGGUCCAGGCCAUUGUGUCUGCCUGUAAAACAUACGAGACAGUCCGCGGGAGCUUCACGUACAGACAACCAGAUCUUGCAUCACAGGCGGAAGCUGUGAAGAAUUCAGCUAGGAGUCGAUCGAUAAUGGCUGUGAAAGAUCAGUACUGACCUUAAAAACAGAUGAGAAGUAUUUUGUUGUUGGUAGGUUGAAAUCCCUGUGAGCUAUUUCAAAAUAUAACCGAAAAAUAUUCAUAAAAUAUGCUCAAUGAAUACUAAUUGUUUUUAAGAUAUUUGUACAUGACUUUAUGGGAGAUAAUGGUUGUGAAAGAUCAAUACCGACCUUACAAAUGAGAAGUAGAUUGGUGUCGGUAGGUUGAAAUUACUGUGAAAACCGAGAAAUAUUCAAAUAUAAUGUCAAUGAAUACUAAUUGUUUCUGGGAUAUCUUUUAAAUGUUUUUUUCUGGAAGAAAAUGGUUGUGAAAGAUCAUUACCGACCUUCGAAACAGAUUAGAAGUACAAUGGUGCUGGUAGGUUGACAUUCCAGUGAGCUAUUUCAAAAUAAAAUUGAGAAAUAUUUAUAAAAUAUGCUCACUGGGCACUCAUCGUUUCUGGGAUGUUUUUACAUGAUUUUAUGGGAGAUAAUGGUUGUGAAAGAUCUAUAAUUGGCUUAAACACAGACAGUAUUUGUGUGUUGUUUUUUUGAUUGUCCAAACUGAAAAAUCAGAGAUUGCAAUUUUACUAUGGUCCCUAAGUGCCACACAUUCUCUGGCCAGGCGCGGUUCCGCUGCUAUUCAUAUGCCAAUUAGUACCUCCGGAGCUCCACAUACUUCAUGGUUCGUUUCCGUCAAUAUUUGGCACAGACGAACGCGACGUUCACAGGCUGUAAAUUGUCAUUAACUGCCGAAAAUGUGUGAGAUUUCCGGGCGCUUACGGGGACGGAAAUCCCACUUUUCAUGCAGUGCAUUGACUGAUCCCAUCCCAUUCACUUUUUCAAAAGCUUCCAGGUCAAGAUGCAGAGAAAUAAACACCAGCUUUUACAGAAAAUUGAGCAACGCUUCUCAACAAGAGGUGUGUGUGUGUGUAUUUGGAAGCCGUCAGACAGAAUGCCUGGAUGACCGAAACUGAACAUGACUUUUUGUCCUGUCAGCAUCCUUAUGUACACAUUGCCUAAAAUACACAAAUCCCUAUCUAAUCGUCCAGGCUGCCCAGACUAACUCAUUAUUGUCUCCCCUGUCAGAAUUUGUUCUUUUUUUUUUUUUGUUCUUUUUUUAAAAUUUUAAAUUAAACCUUAUGUCCAUACCCUACCAUAAUAUAUUAGAGAUUAUGCAGAUUUUAUUAACUUUUUCAAGAUUGACUUGGCUGAUGACAUCCUUUUGGUGACGUUAGGCUCUGAACUUCAAUCUCCAUGACCGGGAUAAUGCUUCCAUUCAGCAAACACCAUCAUGAAAAAUAACUUCAAUUUCAAUGGAGACGUCUAUUAGGAAGUGUCUGGGAUUGGUAUGGGCUGAGAGAAGCUUUGGCUUAGGGGUAGAGCCAGUGUCUUAUUAUCUGUGGGUCGCCGUUUGAUUCCCCUAGUCUGCAUGUCAAAGUGUCCUUGGGCAAGAUACUGAACCCCAAACUGCUCCGGAUGUGCUGGUCAGCACCUCGCAUGGCAGCCACCGCUGUGAAUGUAUGAAUUACUGCAAGUUGUUUUGGACAAAAGUGUCUGGUAAAUGUAAUAUAUAUUGAUGAUGGAUUAGUUUGUCCUUUUCAAGGUAAUGUGGAAGAACUACAUGAUUGUAUCUCUACUUGGCAGCAUCAAUAGUAAUCUGAACUUUACAAUGGACUAGUUGAGAUAAGGUUAUUAUUUUUAUUAUUUAUUUAUUUUUUUUGUCCAACGUGGGUAUCCUAUUGACUCGACUGAAGAAAAAAGAAAAAGAAACAAAAGGUAAAACUUUCUCUGUGACUUGUAUGACCUCCUACUCUUCUUAACCCUUAUGUUGUGUUCCGGUCAAAUCUGUCCGAUUUAAAAGUUUUAUCUCUGAAAAAUGUACUUAAUUUGAUCAGACUGACCUAAAAGUCCAUGACUUUGUCCACAAAGAGGAUUUCAACACACAAAUUAAAUAGUAUUUAUUUGCAUACAAUUUUGUGUAUUUUAUUCAACUUUUGUACACUCUUGGUGUUCCCGGUCAAAAAUGACCAGUCAUUAGAAAUGAAUGGGGGAGACUACAAUUAGUGUAAAAAACUGAUCUCAGGUACAUCCUCAUUUGUCAUAUGGACACACACACACAUGGACACACACACACGCACACGCACUCACACACACACCUUGGUUCCCAGGCAACCACCACAGGAACCUUAGCCCAGUAGAGUCUCUCUCCCGCGGGAACAACACCUGUUCUCAGAAAGUUGUUGGAACAUUGUUUCAAUAAUAUUGAACUUUUCUCGCAGCUUUGGUAGCCUAUAUAAAUGCUUUUUUGAGGCCUUGCUCACAGUUCAUUGUGUGGCAGCACCAUGGCAC